UGUCCCCGGCAGGAUGUUGGGAGAAGCCCCUCUCCCUCGUUUCCCGCCCCCUCUCCCAGCGCAGCCUUGUGCUUCGGCUUAACCUAAGUGAGGCGAUCAUUAGGAAAGGCAUUGGAGAGAAGACAGGAGCAUUUCCCGAGGUGUCCGCAGGGUGCCACAAUGGAUGUGGGAUGACUGGAUAAUCACAGCAUGUGGCCACAGGGGGUCUCCGUGGCCAUGUAUCUUGGUGUGCAGAUAUCACAUUGCCACUUCGAGUGACUGGACUAGAGCGUCUGUCUGUCUGUCUGUCUUGGCAUCCUGUCCUCAGAACCCAUGCUGGAAUCUUUUGUUCUUCUCAUAGGGAACCAAGAGGCACGUUGACAUGCUAUUUUGUGAAAUCUCCAAACUGGACACAUCCAGAAAACCCAUCAACCAAAGAUCUGUAAAUUGUGCUGUAUUUCUGCGAUGGGAUACUCAGAGUCAGUGAAUGUGACUGAACCACAGCUACUCAGAAAUAUACAUGAUUCUCAAAACAUACAUGCAGUGAGGGAACAGGAGUAUGAUUCCACAUAUGUGAGUUCCAGAAAAAACAGAACCAGAUGUGGCUGGUGGUAGGCAUUUUCACGUUACCUCAUGUUAUCCUUGGUUGGACCCUCUCUCUCUCUGGAAAGCUGGAAACAGAUAAGGAAGCUGUGGCCCACAGAGAUUAUGUAACUUGUGAAGGCAACACAUCCUGAACAGAGCCUGGAUCUGAAUCUUCUGACCCCGGAGUUCAAGCUCUUUACAUCACAGCUUCCAAGGAGGAAAAGUCCCCUAACUGAUGAAAGUGGCUCAACCUGAACGAAGGAGUCAAAGCCACAUGAAAGCCAUCGCCCAGCUGCAGGGACUCACCCAAGGAAGUGGAGGAGGAAACCAGCUCACCUUCCACCGGGCUGUCAGGAACACAGCGUCCAUGGCCUGGUCACUGAGACGGGGCAGGAUCCCGGCCAUCAGGCUAGGCUGAAGGAAAGAAAAAGAGAACGAGUAAGGCCAGCCCCAGUUUGAAGCUCUCUCACCAGGCAGCCCUGGGACAGGAAAUUCUAAUGAGGUAACAAAUCUCAAGUAAUACACAGUCACUGUGUUUGUGAUAAAUGAAAGCAACCACUAGAAUAGUCAUUUUAGGAGAUUCUAAAGCUAGAUCAAUUUCCAACAUUUAUCCAAGGAAUCCUGUGGUUCUGCCCCUGCUCCUCCCUAGAAUAUAUUCUGCAGCACUCGCCAAGAGACUCAGUACACCAAGGGACCAGACCCUGGGAGAAAUCAGAACUCUGACCUGAAACCCCCAGCAACCAGUCUGGAACCCAAACCACAAGCAAUGCAGCAAGAGGUCCCAAGUCAGGACCUGGUCAACCAAUGCCAGCUUAUCUCCGAUACGUCUACCCCUCCUCCAUCUCGGACCGACAGAAAAGUCAAAUAUGCUCCCCUCCCAAUCACACAGGAUGUACCGCUUCUAUUUAUUUAAUCUGCUUCCAGUUUUUCCAAGCCAAUAACCUCCAAACAUGGCAUAUUUGAAUUUUCCCUUUUUUCCACUAUAAAGCUUCCCCUGCUUCCUUCCAGUCCCUGCCAAACACAAGUGAUAGUGGCUGAGUCCCCUGGUACAGCCAGCUCUGAAUGAAGAACCUUUACCUGUUCUCAUUUGGAGGGGGGAGUCUUCAUUUAUUUCUGCACUACACAGAAUCAGCUCAAAGGGUGUGAGAAUGAUUUUCGGGCAGCUGUCAGGGGUUUCAGGCUACAUAUUAUAUACACAGAGGUAAUGGUCAAGAGAAAAUUCAGAGGACUUCACUUGAUAGCAACAUUUUAUUGAGCGAAAACCAAACCAUGGACGAGGCUUCAAAACUGAAAGUGUGCAGAAGCUGGGCUCUCAACCGUUACCGCUUAGUUUAUAAAGCAUGUGAAAGGGUGGCAAUAGAAGCCACCCCACAAUAUGCCACCGUGGAAUACUGAUUAUUUUGGGCUGUACGCACUCAGAAAACAGCUGUUAAAAAGAGACACCAGGCCCAAAAGGGGCUCACGCGUGCUAAGCCCGGUGUCAGCAAACCAAGGCUGAAAUAGCUGACCUAACUGCAGUUCCGGCCUCUGCUUUCCCUGUGAAGAUGGUAUGUGGGCCUGAAUUAGAAGACACCUCAGGAGUUAAUCAUUUUCCCUCCGGUACCUCCCAUGUAUACACGGGGUAUACACGUUAAGAAAUUUGUUUCAACUUUUUAUCACAGGGGUCUCACCUAAGAAUUCAGAAGGAUAGAGAGAAAAUUACUUUCCUCCCACGCACACGCGUGAGGAAUUACACUAUUUUCUAUUCGGACUGGCUACUAGAAACUUCCAUUCCUUUUAGAAUAGCAGCACUGUACAGGUUUACUUGUUUGUAGCUGACUGGCUGGGAAGCUGCAAGGUCACUCUGACAUGAAGAAAGCAUGUUUCCUUUAAGGACAGAGUCAGUAUUUGAAGGAAAUAAGGACAGUUUUAAGUUUUGGUUCCCCAGCUUUGGGCGGUUGGCCUCUGGGCAUACCCAAACUGCGGACUCCAUUUUGGUUCUACUUUAACCUAAAUUCAGUGUUGUUACUCUCAGGGAGUGCACAAAUGAUGGGAUACAGGGGGGUUUCAUUUUUCUCUUGUGUUUUUCUGGCCGUCAGUGAUCUCUGCUUUAUGUAGGUGCAUCUUUAAGGAAACCCCCAACACUGUUUCUAAGCCCUCCUGCCUCUUAAAGCAAGGAGGCACUCCCCAGGCAGUCCAGAUCAUUGGCUCCAAGGCUGAAGAAGGGAUCUCAACCCUUUCAUUGUCUAAACUAGGUUACCUGCUGUGAUCAUUGUGCACCUAGAAGUCAGAAGCUUUGGUCUAAUUUGUUAAUCUAUAACAAAACCAAAGAAAACAAUAGGAUUAACCAGACAUUCAUUCGUCGGACUCUGUUCUUCCCUAAUGCUGAAGACCUGACACUCAAUACGCAAAAACUGGCGUCUUCAGGAAGACGCUCCGCAAAUGCCCUGUGAUUUCCGCUGAAGACUGGGAUGGGGAGGGCGACGGAGGAGGGAGCGUCUCUCGAGCCCUGACACCUUCUGUGGCGAGGCCACCGUGGCUUUUUCGCGGUACCCACCCCUCCCAUCACACUAGCUCCCUUCUCCCCAAACCUCGGCGCCUCUGACUCCCGCCGCGCCGCCGCCUCCAGGAAGUCCUC
Molecule: non-coding RNA, 3181 nt
Organism: Vicugna pacos (alpaca)
Lineage: Eukaryota; Metazoa; Chordata; Mammalia; Artiodactyla; Camelidae
Source: RefSeq, a predicted model, not a curated record